RNAcentral lists this long non-coding RNA (2356 nucleotides) under Triticum aestivum (bread wheat). RNAcentral's name for it is "long non-coding RNA (TAES_LNC028351)". Lineage: Eukaryota; Viridiplantae; Streptophyta; Magnoliopsida; Poales; Poaceae. The record is from RNAcentral.
AGCAAUGAAGCAAACCAUAUGGAUCCCAAAAGAAACCCGCACCGCUCCUACCCCACCUACGAAAACCUAUACAAAAUCUCAUCCCUCCCUCGGCACCAUCGCCGCCGUUUGAGAUGUAAAACCAUCCAUGUAGCAAGGAUGGCAUAUGUGUGUCGCUCCACCAAAGAGCAAGCUCCUCCAUCGUUGAACCAGAUCUAAUUGAUGAAGGUUGAUCAUUUGCUCUGAAUUCUUGCUCUACAAAAGGGCAAUCUCCUCCAUCACCGAGCUAGAUCCAAUCCAGGAAGAUUGAUUGUUUGCGCAGAAAAUCUUGCUAUGUCAAAGGGAAAGCUCCUCCGUCACUGAGUCAGAUCCAGAUGGGGAAGGUUGGUCGUUUGCGCAGAAAAUCUCGCUCUGCCAAAGCGCAAGCUUCUUCAUCGCCGAGCCAGAUCCAAUAGAGGAAGGUUGAUCUUUUGUGUAGAAGUCUCGCUCUGCCAAAGGUAAGCUCUUCCAUCUGAGCCAGAUCUAAUCGAUAAAGGUUGAUCGUUUGCGCAGAAGUCUUGCUCUGUUAAAGGGUAAGCUCCUUUGUCGUCGAGCCAGAUCCAAUCGNNNNNNNNNNNNNNNNNNNNNNNNNNNNNNNNNNNNNNNNNNNNNNNNNNNNNNNNNNNNNNNNNNNNNNNNNNNNNNNNNNNNNNNNNNNNNNNNNNNNNNNNNNNNNNNNNAGAGGAAGGUUGAUCUUUUGUGUAGAAGUCUCGCUCUGCCAAAGGUAAGCUCUUCCAUCCGAGCUAGAUCUAAUCGAUGAAGGUUGAUUGUUUGCGCAGAAGUCUUGCUCUGUCAAAGGGUAAGCUCCUCCGUCGUCGAGCCAGAUCCAAUCGAGGAAGAUUGAUCUCCCAUGCAGAGAAUCUUGCUGUGCCAAAGGGCAAGCUCCUUCUUCGCUGAGACAGAUCCAAAUGAGGAAGGUUGAUCGUUUGCCCAGAAAAUCUCGCGUAGAGGAUGAUUGAUCGUUUGCGAAGAAAAUCUUGUUGUUUCAAAGGGCAAGCUCCUUCGUCACCUAGUCAGAUCUAGAUGAAGGUUGAUCAUUUGCGCUGAAAAUCUCGCGUCGAGGAAGAUUAGUCCUUUGUGCAUAAAAUCUCGCAUUGAGGAAGGUUGGUCGUUUGCACAGAAAAUCUUGCUCCACCAAAGAGCAAGCUCCUCCGCCACCAAGCCAGGUCCAAUUGAGGAAGGUUGAUUGUCUGCACGCAGAAAAUCUUGCUCCGCCAAAGGGCAAGCUCAUUCAUCGCCGAGCGAGAUCCAAUCGAAGAAGGUUGAUCAUUUGCGCAGAAAAUGUAGCUCUCCAAAAGGGCAAGCUUCUCUAUCGCCGAGCCAGAUCCAAUCGAGGAAGGUUCAUUGUUUGCGUAGGAGAUUUUGCUUUGCCAAAGAGCAAGCUUAUCCGUCGCUGAGCUAGAUCCAAUCGAGGAAGGUUCAUCAUUUGCGUAGAAAAUCUUGCUCUGCCAAAGAGCAAGCUCCUCCGCCACCAAGCCAGGUCCAAUUGAGGAGGGUUGAUUGUCUGCACGCAGAAAAUCUUGCUCCGCCAAAGGGCAAGCUCAUCCAUCGCCGAGCCAGAUCCAAUCGAAGAGGGUUGAUCAUUUGCGCAGAAAAUGUAGCUCCCCAAAAGGGCAACCUUCUCUAUCGCCGAGCCAGAUCCAAUCGAGGAAGGUUCAUUGUUUGCGUAGGAGAUUUUGCUUUGCCAAAGAGCAAGCUUAUCCGUCGCUGAGCUAGAUCCAAUCGAGGAAGGUUGAUCGUCUGCGCAGAAAAUCUCGCUCCGCCAAAGGGCACGCUCAUCCGUCACCGAGCCAGAUCCAACCAAAUUAAAGAAGCUUAAUCAUCUGCCUAGGAAAUCUAGCUCCCCCAAAGAACAAGUCUUUCUGUCACCGAGCCAGAUCCAACCAAAUUAAAGAAGCUUAAUCAUCUGCCUAGGAAAUCUAGCUCCCCCAAAGAACAAGUCUUUCUGUCACCGAGCCAGAUCUAAUCAAGGAGGGUUGAUCGUUUGCGCAGAAAAUCUCGCUCCGCCAAAGAGCAAGCUCUUUCGUCACUGAGCCAGGUCCAUCGAGGAAGGCUCAUCGUUUGCGCGGAAAAUCUCACUCCCAAAGGACAAGCUCAUCCAUCACCAAGCUAGAUGCAAUCGAGGAAGGUUCAUCGUUUGCAUAGAAAAUCUCGCUCCGCUAAAGAGCAGCUCAUCCGUCACCGAGCCAGAUCCAGUCGAGGAGGGUUGAUCGUUUACGCAGAGCAAGCUAGUUCGUCACCGAGCCAGAUGCAAUCGAGGAGGGUUGAUCCGGCCGCCAAAGAGCAAGCUCAUUCGUCACCGAGCUAGAUGCAAUCGAGGAGGGUUGAUCGUUUACNN